This 71-nucleotide transfer RNA is filed under the name Marmota monax (woodchuck). It matches the Rfam family "tRNA". From Rfam's summary of the family: Transfer RNA (tRNA) molecules are approximately 80 nucleotides in length. The record is from Rfam by way of RNAcentral. Lineage: Eukaryota; Metazoa; Chordata; Mammalia; Rodentia; Sciuridae.
UGGGGUAUAGAUCAGUGGUAGAGUACUUGCCUAGCAUGUGUGAGGCCCCGAGUUCAAUUCCAGUACCCCAA